AACGCGAAGAACCUUACCUGGUCUUGACAUCCACGGAAGUUUUCAGAGAUGAGAAUGUGCCUUCGGGAACCGUGAGACAGGUGCUGCAUGGCUGUCGUCAGCUCGUGUUGUGAAAUGCUGGGUUAAGUCCCGCAACGAGCGCAACCCUUAUCCUUUGUUGCCAGCGGUCCGGCCGGGAACUCAAAGGAGACUGCCAGUGAUAAACUGGAGGAAGGUGGGGAUGACGUCAAGUCAUCAUGGCCCUUACGACCAGGGCUACACACGUGCUACAAUGGCGCAUACAAAGAGAAGCGACCUCGCGAGAGCAAGCGGACCUCAUAAAGUGCGUCGUAGUCCGGAUUGGAGUCUGCAACUCGACUCCAUGAAGUCGGAAUCGCUAGUAAUCGUGGAUCAGAAUGCCACGGUGAAUACGUUCCCGGGCCUUGUACACACCG
This 434-nucleotide ribosomal RNA is filed under the name uncultured bacterium. Its description in RNAcentral is "bacterial SSU rRNA". It matches the Rfam family "Bacterial small subunit ribosomal RNA", at positions 958 to 1392 of the family's 1533-position model. The record is from RNAcentral.